ACGAUGCCCCCGAGGAGCGAAACCACAAUGGUGACGGCAGACAUCACAGAUCCUACAAUACCCGUCUGGUAUUUGUUCCAACUGGGUGAAUGGCAGUAAAAGGUCCGAAGAGCUGUGAAUUACAAGAGCAUGGAGCAUGUACAGCUUUGAAAAGCCCCUGAAGACGAGGUGACGCACCCACCGAAUGUUGCACCUCGCUGUGAACCUCCGCCACGCUGCUACCCUGACACGCGACGACCGAAAGAACCAUGGAGCACCAGCAACCAUCAGUAGAAGCCUAUUGGGAGCUUGUCACCAGACACGCCAUCAGUGCUUAGACGUUGCAGAUGGCUCGAGGACGAGCCAAUUUGCGUGGCCAAGCGGUUGUCAACAAUAUGCUCUACUGGAUGGGUGUUGUGUUAUCAAUAAUACACUUCAGUCCUCCCAAGGUCGAAACGGAAGCUGUGCCUUCCUCUCUCAGUCCAGAGGAAACAGCUGUUCACACCUUCCUUGCCUGCUUAAGACUUUCUCAAUAUAAAAGGCUGCAUAAAUUGUAGGUUCUUGUUAUAAGAGUUUUAACACUGUUGAUUUUAUAAAUAUCUAUCCAUGCUGAUAAAAAAAAUGAAACCAGGACUAAACAUUACAGUGGCUCCCUUGUUUAGACAGUAACUGUCCAUCACCAUAAAACGCCUACUUUUGGUUAUUUUGGCAUAUGCGUUCCACAUUUAUGAUUUAUAUAUUUUGCAAAUAUAUGUGUGUACAGGUUAUGUAUUUUCCUCGUAUAUUUAGGGGUUUAUAUCACUGUACUUUCCAUUAUCCAAUUGCACGGUUUUAUAAAACCAGAACCUGGC
Molecule: non-coding RNA, 830 nt
Organism: Penaeus vannamei (Pacific white shrimp)
Lineage: Eukaryota; Metazoa; Arthropoda; Malacostraca; Decapoda; Penaeidae
Source: RefSeq, a predicted model, not a curated record